UGCAAGUCGACGCGAAGUCCUUCGGGAUGAGUAGAGUGGCGCACGGGUGAGUAACACGUAGGUAAUUUGCCUUUGGGUGGGGAAUAACAAUCGGAAACGGUUGCUAAUACCGCAUAAUGCAGCGGCUGCUUUGGCAGACAGUUGUUAAAGCGGGGGAUCGGAGUAAUCCGACCACGUGCCUGAAGAGAAGCCUGCGGCAGAUUAGGUAGUUGGUGAGGUAAUGGCUCACCAAGCCUGCGAUCUGUAACCGGCCUGAGAGGGCGGUCGGUCACACUGACACUGAACAUACGGGUCAGACUCCUACGGGAGGCAGCAGUCGGGAAUUUUGGGCAAUGGGCGCAAGCCUGACCCAGCAACGCCGCGUGAAGGAUGAAAUCUCUUGGGAUGUAAACUUCACAAGAACAGGAAGAAUAAGUGAGUGUUAAUAGCGCUCGCGAUGACGGUACUGUUUGUAAGCUCCGGCUAACUCCGUGCCAGCAGCCGCGGUAAUACGGGGGGAGCAAGCGUUGCUCGGAUUUACUGGGCGUAAAGGGCGCGUAGGCGGCGUGACAAGUCACUUGUGAAAUCUGAAGGCUCAACCUUCAACGGCCAAGUGAUACUGUUGUGCUUGAGUGCAGAAGGGGCAAUUGGAAUUCUCGGUGUAGCGGUGAAAUGCGUAGAUAUCGAGAGGAACACCAGCGGCGAAGGCGGAUUGCUGGGCUGACACUGACGCUGAGGCGCGAAAGCUAGGGGAGCGAACGGGAUUAGAUANNNCGGUAGUCCUAGCCUUAAACGAUGGAUGCUUGGUGUCCGAGGUAUUGAAGUCCUCGGGNGCCGGANCUAACGCGAUAAGCAUCCCGCCUGGGGAGUACGGUCGCAAGACUGAAACUCAAAGGAAUUGACGG
RNAcentral lists this ribosomal RNA (884 nucleotides) under uncultured bacterium. Its description in RNAcentral is "bacterial SSU rRNA". It matches the Rfam family "Bacterial small subunit ribosomal RNA", at positions 56 to 916 of the family's 1533-position model. The record is from RNAcentral.